GAGUUUGAUCAUGGCUCAGGACGAACGCUGGCGGCGUGCCUAACACAUGCAAGUCGCACGGGGUAGCAAUACCCAGUGGCGAACGGGUGCGUAACACGUGAGGAACAUACCUAUCGGCGGGGGAUAGCCGGCCCAACGGCCGGGUAAUACCGCGUACGCUCUCUGGGGGGCAUCUCCUGGGGAGGAAAGCAGCAAUGCACCGAUAGAGUGCCUCGCGGCCUAUCAGCUAGUUGGUGAGGUAACGGCUCACCAAGGCGACGACGGGUAGCUGGUCUGAGAGGAUGAUCAGCCACAUUGGGACUGAGACACGGCCCAGACUCCUACGGGAGGCAGCAGUGGGGAAUCUUGCGCAAUGGGCGAAAGCCUGACGCAGCGACGCCGCGUGUGGGAUGAAGGCCUUC
This 401-nucleotide ribosomal RNA is filed under the name uncultured Gemmatimonadota bacterium. RNAcentral describes it as "bacterial SSU rRNA". It matches the Rfam family "Bacterial small subunit ribosomal RNA", at positions 9 to 419 of the family's 1533-position model. The record is from RNAcentral. Lineage: Bacteria; Pseudomonadati; Gemmatimonadota.